Molecule: long non-coding RNA, 287 nt
Organism: Lepidothrix coronata (blue-crowned manakin)
Lineage: Eukaryota; Metazoa; Chordata; Aves; Passeriformes; Pipridae
Exons: 3
Source: RefSeq, a predicted model, not a curated record
AGGAAGUGGUGUAACUGAAAAAGCUACAGAGCCAACAGAAGAUAGUAUCCACCUCCUUCCAGGUCUGUCUUUGAAAAAGCUCACAGGGGUGGGAUUUGGGAUAUAGCCCGUACCAACUUGUUGCAACAGAAGCUCCACCAACUGGUGGAAUUGCCCUGGAAUUCUGCAAUACCACAGAUGGGGAGGCUUGAAUAUUCCUGGACUGACUCAGCCUGUUCACUUUGCCUGGCUUGUAAGACAAUAGACGAUUCUUUCUUGCUCGUGGAGAUCCAAAAUUAAAAGUAAAG